AACUGGUGAGUAACACGUGGGAAACCUGCCCAGAAGCGGGGGAUAACACCUGGAAACAGAUGCUAAUACCGCAUAACAACUUGGACCGCAUGGUCCGAGUUUGAAAGAUGGCUUCGGCUAUCACUUUUGGAUGGUCCCGCGGCGUAUUAGCUAGAUGGUGRGGYAACGGCUCACCAUGGCAAUGAUACGUAGCCGACCUGAGAGGGUAAUCGGCCACAUUGGGACUGAGACACGGCCCAAACUMMUACGGGAGGCAGCAGUAGGGAAUYUUCCACAAUGGACGAAAGUCUGAUGGAGCAACGCCGCGUGAGUGAAGAAGGGUUUCGGCUCGUAAAACUCUGUUGUURAAGAAGAACAUAUCUGAGAGUAACUGUUCAGGUAUUGACGGUAUUUAACCAGAAAGCCACGGCUAACUACGUGCCAGCAGCCGCGGUAAUACGUAGGUGGCAAGCGUUGUCCGGAUUUAUUGGGCGUAAAGCGAGCGCAGGCGGUUUUUUAAGUCUGAUGUGAAAGCCUUCGGCUCAACCGAAGAAGUGCAUCGGAAACUGGGAAACUUGAGUGCAGAAGAGGACAGUGGAACUCCAUGUGUAGCGGUGAAAUGCGUAGAUAUAUGGAAGAACACCAGUGGCGAAGGCGGCUGUCUGGUCUGUAACUGACGCUGAGGCUCGAAAGUAUGGGUAGCAAACAGGAUUAGAUACCCUGG
This 703-nucleotide ribosomal RNA is filed under the name Lactiplantibacillus plantarum. RNAcentral describes it as "bacterial SSU rRNA". The record is from RNAcentral. Lineage: Bacteria; Bacillati; Bacillota; Bacilli; Lactobacillales; Lactobacillaceae.